AGACCAUCGGGGGAGGAGAUGACUC
Molecule: non-coding RNA, 25 nt
Filed under: Cricetulus griseus (Chinese hamster)
Lineage: Eukaryota; Metazoa; Chordata; Mammalia; Rodentia; Cricetidae
Source: RNAcentral